Molecule: ribosomal RNA, 596 nt
Filed under: bacterium XN-80-10
Lineage: Bacteria
Description: bacterial SSU rRNA
Rfam family: Bacterial small subunit ribosomal RNA
Source: RNAcentral
GCAAGUCGAGCGGAUGAAGGGAGCUUGCUCCUGGAUUCAGCGGCGGACGGGUGAGUAAUGCCUAGGAAUCUGCCUGGUAGUGGGGGAUAACGUCCGGAAACGGGCGCUAAUACCGCAUACGUCCUGAGGGAGAAAGUGGGGGAUCUUCGGACCUCACGCUAUCAGAUGAGCCUAGGUCGGAUUAGCUAGUUGGUGGGGUAAAGGCCUACCAAGGCGACGAUCCGUAACUGGUCUGAGAGGAUGAUCAGUCACACUGGAACUGAGACACGGUCCAGACUCCUACGGGAGGCAGCAGUGGGGAAUAUUGGACAAUGGGCGAAAGCCUGAUCCAGCCAUGCCGCGUGUGUGAAGAAGGUCUUCGGAUUGUAAAGCACUUUAAGUUGGGAGGAAGGGCAGUAAGUUAAUACCUUGCUGUUUUGACGUUACCAACAGAAUAAGCACCGGCUAACUUCGUGCCAGCAGCCGCGGUAAUACGAAGGGUGCAAGCGUUAAUCGGAAUUACUGGGCGUAAAGCGCGCGUAGGUGGUUCAGCAAGUUGGAUGUGAAAUCCCCGGGCUCAACCUGGGAACUGCAUCCAAAACUACUGAGCUAGAGUA